This 441-nucleotide ribosomal RNA is filed under the name Triticum aestivum (bread wheat). Its description in RNAcentral is "partial small subunit ribosomal RNA". The record is from RNAcentral. Lineage: Eukaryota; Viridiplantae; Streptophyta; Magnoliopsida; Poales; Poaceae.
AUGGCAUAUUAUUCAGAUUGUCUCAGAGAUGCGAGGAACACUACAAACAUCACGGAAACUAUUCAAGAACUGAUAAGUAAGAUUUCCCAUCGAUUAGAUGAUUUAGCUCAACAGCGAGAAGUAGUUUUUGAGGAUAGGCCUAGCUCUUAUGAUCCUUAUUCUAGAGGUCAUCCUUAUGUUGCUCCUACAUGCCAUAUUUGUGGAUUUCAGGGCCAUUCACCCGCUGAAUGUCAGCGUGGUUACUCUCACUCUCCCGAUUUUUAUGGCAUGAGCUUCGCCCCACAGCCUAGCUCAUACCAAAACAAUUACUCAUAUGGGUGGCCUGAGAACCAGAAUAUGUCAUAUAGGAGCAACAACCCCGAGAUCUCACCGUUUGCUUCUAGUAAUCAUAUGCAGGGAUUUAGGUACAAUGAGGAGAGCCACAACUAUGCUCCACAAUAG